RNA transcript from Oncorhynchus gorbuscha (pink salmon), 1580 nucleotides. RefSeq lists it as uncharacterized. Lineage: Eukaryota; Metazoa; Chordata; Actinopteri; Salmoniformes; Salmonidae. The transcript has 2 exons. The record is from RefSeq and is a predicted model, not a curated record.
ACAACCACUGCUACCUAAAGCUAGCGUCGUAUGCGGGAUAAACAACCAUCAAUGGACUGCACCAGGGCUAUGCUCUCUCAGGUCAUGACAAGCUCACAAGACAGUAACAACAUUAAACGCUGGCCAGAUAUCAAAUAAUGUUACCGCUACCCGUACGUACUCCAAGCUAGCUAGCAAGUAUUCGUUAGCUAGCUAACGUUAACUAGGAGUGGUCGAUUGCUUGUUUAGCUAGAUAGCUAACGAGCGAGCCACUGAACGAAAGCAGGAAGGAAUGCCUUGGGUAAAGCUUACCAAAUGAAUUUAGGAAAUCGGCAAUCUUCUUGAUGCUACUCGUGAUCACUUCUAUAUACUCGCGAUUUGCCCAAUCCUGAUGGAUUUCUCUUUGAACUGGGUCAUCCUGGAUAGACAUCUUUACGAGUUUGCUAAACUCAAUACUUCCGCGGUCUGGUAGGGUGCGCCAAAUGCUGUCACCAAGGGGGGUUGAUCGCAUGGUAAGAGCUAUCCGGGAUACUUGGGACGUCCAUACCCUAACCGUAACCACAACCCUUCCCUUUAACUAUUUGAAAUGGCAACUUCGGAAACCUUUCCAGCAACGUAAACUCACACGAAAGAGCUUACAUGUUCAUAAUCAGUUUGUUCACGAGCCACAUUCACCACGUCCAACUAGCUACUUAAUCACGAGACAAGGAUGGCGGUUGCGGAUUCCAAGACCUUCAGAAGUUUAGCAAGUUCAGAGUUAUCAAACGAGCAACAUCAGCGACAAUGCAUUAGCCUCUCCAACAAGCCUGAAACAGUGUAAACAAGGACAUGGGCUAACUGAUGCCUUGGACCGUGCAAUGGAGGAUAUUACAGCACUAGAGAUCUCUACACCUUCUUCUCUUGAUAAGUCCAGCAAGGACUCACUCAGUCACUCACAAACAAAACUCCAAUUUGAGGAACCACUUGUCAGGUAUAGAGAUUAUGGCUACAUAAAAAGCAAACAGACUUAAUUACAAUAGGCUAUACUAUAACAAUGUUAUUGAGGUAAUUUGUCAUUUUGUCAUUCAAUAGGCGAGAGAAGUCAAGGCACAAAAGGGAGGGCUUUGCACUGUCAAGCAAAUCCGAAGCUCCAUUCCCUAAAGAUCUACUUGAAGUUUUAGGUUAGUAUUAAAACACCAACUAAUUAAAGAUGAGUUAAAACACAAUUUGUGAUGUUCACGCGCUGGUGGUUAUUUUUCAUUUUUCCACAUUUCAAUGUUAAACAAAAUGAAUGUUUAAGGUCAGCCCUUGUACUAGUUUAAAGACACAAAGCUAUCGCAUAAAGGAGAUGGCAAACACCAACCACUCAAAGCUUGCAUUGUGUCCCCUGCAAAGGGACUUCAGAUAUACAGACUCUGGAGGAUCUAGUGGCUAAACUGGAGUUUGAGAAUGAGCUGCACCGUGUGUGUGGGAAUCAGGACGUAGACAAGGAGUUUCUAUCACCAGAGGAACACAGUUCAGACAGCUUAGUAGAGGACAGAAGCAGCAGCAAUGGAGAUGUGUCCAGUUCAGAGGACCACUGCAUGUUAGAGAUUGUGUUGCAGAUGGAAAGGGAGUAUGAU